UUGCUCUUCAACGAGGAAUUCCUAGUAAGCGCGAGUCAUUAGCUCGCGUUGACUACGUCCCUGCCCUUUGUACACACCGCCCGUCGCUCCUACCGAUUGAAUGGUCCGGUGAAGUGUUCGGAUCGCGGCGACGUGGGCGGUUCGCCGCCGGCGACGUCGCGAGAAGUUCACUGAACCUUAUCAUUUAGAGGAAGGAGAAGUCGUAACAAGGUUUCCGUAGGUGAACCUGCGGAAGGAUCAUUGUCGAAUCUGCAAAGCAGAGCAACCAGCGAACAUGUUUUACAUCUGUGGGAAGGGGGUGCUGGCACGAUGCUUUGGGUUGUGCCAGCCCCUCCCCCAUGUCGCGGGGCACUCCUACUUGGUGUGCUCCCCGGCGAAAAAAACAAACCACGGCGCUUACUGCGCCAAGGAACAUGAAAAGGAGUGUGCCUGUCCUAUGCAUCGGUUUGCCGGUGCGGGGAUGUGGCACCCAGUAUUAAGAGAUAAAACGACUCUCGGCAACGGAUAUCUCGGCUCUCGCAUCGAUGAAGAACGUAGCGAAAUGCGAUACUUGGUGUGAAUUGCAGAAUCCCGUGAACCAUCGAGUCUUUGAACGCAAGUUGCGCCCGAAGCCUUUAGGUCGAGGGCACGUCUGCCUGGGCGUCACGCAUCGCGUCUCCCUACCCCACAUCGUGUGGGAUGGGGAGGAAGAUGGCCUCCCCUGCCUCACCGGGAAUGGAUGGCCUAAAAAAGGAGCCCGUGGCUACAAGCUGCAGCGGCAUUUGGUGGAAGACAAGGCCUUGCCUAGUAUGCAUCCGCGUCGCUCAGCACGUAGGCCGUGGACUCGCAGGACCCUAACAUGUUGCCCCCUGACGGCGACAAACCUUUGCGACCCCAGGUCAGGCGGGGCUACCCGCUGAGUUUAAGCAUAUCAAUAAGCGGAGGA
This 925-nucleotide ribosomal RNA is filed under the name uncultured eukaryote. Its description in RNAcentral is "eukaryotic LSU rRNA". The stretch from base 1 to 243 matches the Rfam family "Eukaryotic small subunit ribosomal RNA", at positions 1593 to 1831 of the family's 1831-position model. The record is from RNAcentral.